UUACGAACCGCCUGCUAGAAUUCUGGUUGGAGGGGAAGAGUAAGAAAACGGCGAGUGGAAUUAAGCCUAGCCCCUUUUCCCCAAGUUCUUCCAUGUUCUCUCUAAACGUGUCAAAUUCUACAUUUUCUUUCAAGGGGGAGAGGUAACCUUUUUUGGGCCCACAUACAAGACUAUAGGAUAGCAGGUCGCAGCAAAUUAUAUCUUAAAAAGUCCCAUCGCCCAGCGUCGUAAUCGAUACAGUUUAAAGAUUAUGAAAGUUCUAGAUAAGCUAUUCCAAGCGAAUGAGUCACACGGGAGAAUGGACGAAACUCGAAGAUCGAACUGAGCAUCUGUUAUGUGUGAGACGACCGUGAAAACCAAUACACAACAAAUGCAUUUUUC
Molecule: long non-coding RNA, 381 nt
Organism: Daphnia magna
Lineage: Eukaryota; Metazoa; Arthropoda; Branchiopoda; Diplostraca; Daphniidae
Exons: 3
Source: RefSeq, a predicted model, not a curated record